CAUGAUACUGUUAUCACCUCUAAAGAAUAACAGUUGUUUAGGAGGCUCCUAGUCUGAUUCUUUAACCACUACACCACGAUGGGAACUCCUGAUGAGUGGCUUUAAAAGAACACUUUAUUUGAAUUAGAAGUCAAACAAGAUUGAGGAGUUCCCAUCAGCAGCAGCUCGGAUUUGAUCCUUGGUCAGGGAAUGUCCGUAUGCCACAGGUACCGCCGGAAAAAAGAAAAAGAGAAAAUAUUCCUUAUCUACUAUUUGGUAACCCAGCGGUAUAGUCCAAUAAGAAAGGCAGGAUAAAUGUUUGAAUAUUUUCCCUUAUCAAUUUUCAAAAUAAUGAUUGGGCUUCCUAGCAUUCUCUAAUGGUGAUCAGUGAGUUUUUGUUUGCUUUUUAGUGUCAUGAUAAACUUAGGACUAUUUGGUAUGUUUCAAUCCAUUAUAGUUAUUCUUCCCGAUGCUCUCAGUGCCCAUCUUUGGUCAGUAGAAGCCUCUCUGCUUGGCUUCUGGGCGCCUCCUGGGUGUAGGGUGUAGUGACAUUUCAUCUCAUACAGUGUUUAGAGCUUUUAAUGACCUGUUGUCAGUCUUUUAGUGACCUGAAAUCAGGGCCCAAAGUGGCCUUUUCUAGGGAUGUGUUAUCAGACAAUAAGUGGAGGAAGGACAGGUCGGUUUGUUAGAGACUUGCAGGUCCCCCUCCCCUGUAAGUUCUGCAGUUUCCCACCACAGUUCUACACAGCGGUGCACAGACACUAAACUCACUGAGUAAAUGGUGACCAAAGAAAUCUCUAUUGCAAAUCAAAUCAAAACUCCUAUGAGGCACCACCUUACCUCAACCAGAAUGGCCAUCAUCAAAAAGUCUACAAACAAUAAAUGCUGGAGAAGGUGUGGAGAAUAGGGAACCCUCUUACUUAAACAGUUGGUGGGAAUGCAAAUUGGGGCAGCCACUAUGGAAAACAGCAGUGAGGUUCCUCAAAAAACUAAAAAUAGAAUCACCAUACCAUCCAGCAAUCCCACUCCUGGGCAUCUCUCCAGAGGAAGCCAUGACUCAAAAAGAUAUAUGCACCCCAAUGUUCAUUGCAGCACUAUAUACGAUAGCCAAAAUGUGGAGGCAACCUAAAUGUCCAACAGAGGAGUGGAUAAAGAAGGUGUGGUACAUAUACACAACAGAAUAUUACUCAGCCAUGAAAAAGAAUGAAAUAAUGGAAUUUGCAGCAACAUAGAUGGGCCUAGAAAUUAUCAUACUAAGUGAAGUUAGAUAGUGAGAAACAAACAUAUGCUAUCACCUAUAUGUAGAAUCUUAAAGGAUGCAAUGAAUUUAUCUGCAGAACAGAAACAGACUUACAGACCUUGAAAAACUUAUGGUUACCAAACGGAACAGGUUGGGAGGGAGGGAUGGGCUGGGGGUUUGGGAUGGAAAUGUUCUAACAUUAGGUUGUGAUGAUGGUUGUACAUCUACAAAUACAAUAAAAUUCAUUAAGUUAAAAAAUUUUAGGGCAGUUGAUGAGCAACCUAGAGUUCCUAAUCUAGAAGUUAAAAUUGGAGAAUGCAGCUGGACCCUGAGGCCAAAAAGUGUGGGCCUGUUUUUCAGAUCAAAGCAGGUCUUGUCUAUUUGGAAAGCCGUGUGCAAAGAGCCUCUGAAUCAGCUGUUCUGAUCAGUGUGUUAAGUGACUUGUACAUCCCAGAGGCCAAAGGGUUUAUUGGUUGCCUUAAUUUCCUGUUUGUUGGUAGACCAAAAAAAAAAAAAAAAAAAAAAAAAAAAAA
Molecule: long non-coding RNA, 1752 nt
Filed under: Sus scrofa (pig)
Lineage: Eukaryota; Metazoa; Chordata; Mammalia; Artiodactyla; Suidae
Description: lncRNA (ENSSSCG00050027098.1)
Source: RNAcentral